UACGUAGGGGGCUAGCGUUAUCCGGAAUUACUGGGCGUAAAGGGUGCGUAGGUGGUUUCUUAAGUCAGAGGUGAAAGGCUACGGCUCAACCGUAGUAAGCCUUUGAAACUGAGAAACUUGAGUGCAGGAGAGGAGAGUAGAAUUCCUAGUGUAGCGGUGAAAUGCGUAGAUAUUAGGAGGAAUACCAGUUGCGAAGGCGGCUCUCUGGACUGUAACUGACACUGAGGCACGAAAGCGUGGGGAACAAACAGG
Molecule: ribosomal RNA, 252 nt
Filed under: uncultured bacterium
Lineage: Bacteria
Description: partial 16S ribosomal RNA
Rfam family: Bacterial small subunit ribosomal RNA
Source: RNAcentral